AUUCUUCUGAUUGUUGCUGUGAUUUGCUGUUGCAAGCGCAGAGCAAGAAGGAACGCUAACAGGACGGAGCGCAGUGAACAGAGAGACACUUUUUUGAUGAAGACUCUCAGUGACUCGAACCUUCAUCA
Rhinichthys klamathensis goyatoka is the source of this 128-nucleotide long non-coding RNA. RefSeq lists it as uncharacterized. NCBI's taxonomy places the organism in Eukaryota, Metazoa, Chordata, Actinopteri, Cypriniformes, Leuciscidae. The record is from RefSeq and is a predicted model, not a curated record. The transcript is spliced from 3 exons.